GAUGAACGCUGGCGGCGUGCCUAAUACAUGCAAGUCGAGCGAACAGGCGAGGAGCUUGCUCCUCUGACGUUAGCGGCGGACGGGUGAGUAACACGUGGAUAACCUACCUAUAAGACUGGGAUAACUUCGGGAAACCGGUGCUAAUACCGGAUAAUAUAUUGAACCGCAUGGUUCAAUAGUGAAAGACGGUUUUGCUGUCACUUAUAGAUGGAUCCGCGCCGCAUUAGCUAGUUGGUAAGGUAACGGCUUACCAAGGCAACGAUGAGUGGCCGACCUGAGAGGGUGAUCGCCGACACUGGAACUGAGACACGGUCCAGACUCCUACGGGAGGCAGCAGUAGGGAAUCUUCCGCGAUGGGCGAAAGCCUGACGGAGCAACGCCGCGUGAGUGAUGAAGGUCUGCGGAUCGUAAAACUCUGUUAUUAUGGAAGAACAAAUGUGUAAGUAACUAUGCACGUCUUGACGGUACCUAAUCAGAAAGCCACGGCUAACUACGUG
This 497-nucleotide ribosomal RNA is filed under the name uncultured bacterium. RNAcentral's name for it is "partial 16S ribosomal RNA". It matches the Rfam family "Bacterial small subunit ribosomal RNA", at positions 28 to 507 of the family's 1533-position model. The record is from RNAcentral.